GGAGGAAGGCAGGAGAUGGAGAUGAAGAUAGAAAGAUGGGCAGGGACCAAAUCACGCAAGCCCUGGAGAGCCACGGGUCAAAGACUGGGUGUUAUGGAGUUCGUGCUACUAAAAGUGUUCAAAGAGCUUUAAGCAAGAGAGUAAAAUGAUCUGAUUUAGGCUUUAAAAAUAUAAUCCUGGCUGCUCUGUAGAGGAUAAAUUGGAGGAAGGCAAGAAAGGAUGUUGGAGACCAGUUUGGAGGCUCUUGUACUUCAGGCGAAACUGAUGGAGGAUUGGAUAGUAAUGGUAAGUAAAAACACAGAUGGAAAAGAUGAGAAGAUUUGAAAUGUAGUCUGCUUAUCACAAUCUUAACUGAAGUUCAACUCAUCCAAUCCAGGUAUCUAACAUAUACCUAAAUAUACCUAACAGUUCUUAAAAUAUGGCCCCCAGGCAGGCAGCCUUGGCAUCACCUGGGAACUGUUCAGAAAUGCCAAUCUCAGGCUCCACUCCACACAAUGAUUCAGAAAUUCUGGGGAUGGAUCCCAGAAAUCUAUGUUUUAACAAGCCCUCCAAGUGAUUCUAAUAUGUACUAAAGUUUGAGAGACACUGACCCAGAGGAAUUAAUUAACUUGGGACUUUCUGAAUACAACAAACAUGCAUGAAGAGUUACUAGGCCAAUAGUAUGUAAUUAAAAUACACUUGCUCUAUUGUUAAUAAAGCCUGGAAUAAUACAACAGACUUCAAAUAUUAUUAUAGUGCUCUGCAAUCAAAUUCUAGUUUCUACAUUCUAGGAACUUAAAUGAAAACUUAGCCAUUAAGGUCAAGAGAAUCCUCUUCUGGGCCUGCUGGAACAUUUUUUGUCUUUACAUAGUCCCAGUUAGGCUUCUACUCUUGUGUUUUCCACGAUGUUUUGUAUAAGGAUGGUUGCAUCUUUGUAUCUGGUCUCAGGCUUUAAUGUCUGCUUAUAAAUUUGUUGAAAUAUGUCAUCUUUAUUAUUUGGAUUCCAUGGAGAUUCCUCCUUCCAAUAUACUCGGAGAAAUAUUGGUUGUCUGCUUUUUUAAUCAUGGGAAUAAUCUUUUUGGUUUGCUUUGCUCCUCUCUGUCUCUUCCUAGAAAGAGAGAGAAGUUUGAUUUAUUGCACUUAGUAGAAAAAGUCACUACCUGAUGGUAUAAAUUGAAAGUAGCUGUCUCCUGCAUGCAGUACCGUGGCACUUCCUUUGCCAUGCCAUUAAACAUGCCCCUUGGAAGCACUGGUUUAAAGACAUCACUAUGAUUGCAUUUCACAGCAUUGUUGGGUAUGCUACUUUGUAGUGAUUAGUAUAGAUUAUUGAUAAUUACAUAUUUAUAGUCUUAUUCAAAGAGUAGUCAUUUGAAUUUGGACCUGAGAAAGAAAAAGACAUUGUCCUGUCUAGAAGCCAGGAGUCAGGAUAAAGUGAUCAUGUUCCCAGAGUGUGGACACCAUGGGGAAAAAUAUAAACAGAAAGAUUUCCCAGUAAGAAACUCAGGUCUAGAAUAGUGUCUGAAACACUAGUGGAUCCUGGAAAAUUUAAUUGUUCAUUCAGCUUUAACAAGGAAUGAAGUUCUGAUACAGGCUACAACACGGAUAUACCUUGGAAACAUCAUGCCAAGUGAAAUAAGCCAGUUACAAAGAGAUAAAUAUUGUAUGAUUCCACUAAUAUGAGGUAUCCAGAGUGGGCAAAGUCAUAGAGACAGAAAGCAGCAUAAAGGUUACUAGGGUCUUGGAGGAGAGGGAAAUGGGGAGUUAUUGUUUAAUGGGUUCUGAGUUUCCAUUUGGAAAGAUGAAACAGUUCUAGAACUGGAUAAUGGUGAAGGUUGCACAACAUUUUGAGUGCUCUUAAUGCCAUAGAACUGUACACUUUAAAAUGGUUAAAAUGUUAUGCAUGUUUUGUCACAAUAAAAAAAAUAAAAUUGUUUAAAGGCGGCACUGAAUAAAUACUUGUUUACUGAUAUCUCCACAGGGCUAUUAAAAUGAUGAAACGAUAAUAUUAAAUGACUGCACAUACUCAUUGUCAUAUUCUUGCAUAUUCUGAGAUUAUUAUACUUACCCUGUUCAUUGUCAGAAAACCUCAGAGUUGAACAUAAGACAUCUGUAUUUAGAAAGCAGGCUUUGUUAGCAAUAGAGUUAUACAAAUGUGACCACAAAUAUUACUCAUUAGGUCUUACAGCUCCUAGACCACAUGCCUUCAUCCUUGGUCUAUCAAAUAUUCUAGACAUCAGUGACUAAAUACAUAUAUUUUACAAAUUUACUUUAGACCGUAUGUUCAUCUUAAUCCAUCAAGGAAAUAAAAAUUGUACCAUGAAUCCCUUCACUUUCUUUUUUUACACUAAACCCAAGAAGUCAGUAAAAUGUAAAAGCUAAGCAGUUUCUAAUUUCGGUUUACACAUUUUCUGUAAACUGCAAAAAUCCACCAGAGGAGGAUUUUUAUGUGUAAUAAAAAACCUGCAUAGCUUUCUCAGAAGGGGGUUUCAUACCAUACGAUCCCUCACCAAUCUAGAAAGAAAAUGCAAUUCCUGAUCUGUAACUGCUAGCACACCCACCUGUCCCUUCUUCCCUAAUGAGAUGAAAUUAUAACGGGGAGAGCAAUUUGCAAAUAUCCUCCCCUUGGCUGAUUUAUGCUUCUACAUUGUGUGUCAAAUCCUUUCUGAAUCCUUUUUGUUGCAUAUAUGAGAAGACAUUUAGAAAAAGAUUUUGGAAUGCCUUUAAUCUUCUAAAUCAACAAUAAAGAAAAAAAUGAAAUAAAGGUCAAGGUUUUGAUAUACUGCUUCUAAAGUACAUCCCACACUGAGUAAAACACCAUGAAAUCAUCUGUCAGAACUGACUUUCUUCCAGAGACUACAUUCCAAGAGCGUGAAGAGAGCAAAGUGGCUAUUGGAUGGUUUCCUUAGAUUCCAAUGCACCUUAAUCAUAUUCACAAGACUGUACGUUUUCAUCACUGCAGGAGCUGGCAGAAUUUUGUGACAAUUCUGGGAAAUGCUUUCAGAUGGCCCCUUCUAUGAAUUAUGAAUGUUUCACAAAGCUCUAUGGUAAAUGGAAUAGCCUUGUUCUCCACAAAUGCAGGGGUGGAUUAAGAGGUGGCCUUCCUUUGUUUCUUUGCCUUGAAAUUUAAUAUUGUUUGCAAACAGAGAAAUUAAAUCUCGAUGAAGGUAAGUAGGCUUUAAUUAGUUGUAAACAAUUAUUUUGUCUUAUGAAGAAUUACAUUUGUUUAUUGUAUUCAUUAGAGAUUGUAUAAAUACCACCAUUUUCUUUCCAGACUGUGCUUAAUGUGAUAUGAAUAGAUUUACAAAUGACUGCUUUUAAAAAACAAAACAAAAAAAACAACUCAGUUCUCAUUAUUCAUUCUUGUUGUUUUCUAUAAAGUCACCACAAAUGCUGAAUAAGCAAAUACUAAACCAUUGCUCCUAGGGGAAGUACAGUGUUAGGUUCCUGCAAGCCUCUAGUCACACUUUUGUGAACCUUGUUUCAUGUGUCUCUGUUUAAAUACAUCUUAUUUAAUAUAUAGUGUUGACUCAUUAACAUUGAACUCAGCCACCAGCACCAUGACUCAUGCCUGAAUGAAAUUUAUUUAACACAUGUAUUUUCUCUGUAAGGCACAUUACAGUCUUCUUCCACUGAGGAACAAUAGACAACACUUCUGCACUACACUUGGGGACAAUUUUAAACACUGAAAUCACCGACAAGUAAGCACAAAUGUGAAAAAAUGGCACUCAAUAGACUGAGAAAAGGACUCUUGUUUACAAUAUAAAAGAUAAACAAGAAGACAGAGCAUUGCCUUGCUUGACCUCAGCUGGGAACAUGUGCUUCAGAUGACUCAAAUUCUUCCUGCUCUGCACAUGUCCUUGAAUGGCCAUGAAAGCACUAAUAGUGUUGAUCUUGGGGUUAUGAAUAAAUUUUAGCAAGUAGGAAAACUUACAAAUACCAAUUUCUCAAAUAAUGGGAAUCAACUAUAUACAUAGUCAUCUGAGACAUCUCUCUGCUCGAGACCAUUUUUCACCUCAAAAUAGUGGCCAGUUGUUAGGACAGAGUCAGGAAAGCCUGCUCAGUUACUGUGAGAUCUCUGUUCCACUGUAGUCUUCAUUCUAUUUCUGCAGACUCCAAACAGUCUUAUAAUAAAAGUUACCUUCCUCAUUUCCCUUUGUUUUAUAGGUUCCCAUGGGUGAAUUUGGUGUUACAGCAAGAUUUGAAACUGUCUGACCUGAUAGGGGUGAAAAGAAUCUGGCUGGACUGUCCACCUCUCACUGUGGGGGCAGCUCCUGGCUUAGAAGUUCUAGACCAGGUCCAAAGGCUGUUGACAGAGAACCCACAUCUUAUCACAGGAGAUUCCAAGGAGUCACACAGAUGGCCCCACGGAGGGUCAAGCUGGAAGAGGAAAGGGAAGGUGAAAUAUGAGAGAAGCUGAAAGGAUAUACAGCAGGAAGACAAGCUUUCAAGGAGCUUCAGUGUGUGCAUCUGCAUUUAGACCACAAACAGCAACAGUGCUGGAAUUUCCACUCUCUGAGGUGUUAGGUAUGACAGUCCCAUGGUAGGGAAAGUUAUUUAGAAAGAAUCAUGCAAAAUUGAAGAGAAUGUUUAGAAUGUUUAUUUAAUAAGCAUCAAGUUUUGCUCAAGCUUAAUAGAUUCUCAACUGUGUGACUUUAGGAAAUACAAUCUGUACAGUGUUUCUGAAGUAACCACUUACCAGACAAUAAAACAAAUCAUACAGCUAAAAUAAACAUCUCAAAAUUAUCUGCCCAGCCCUCAGCUUCCCAACCACUCUGCACAGAUAUGUGUCUAUUUUAUACCUAAAUAUUACCCAAAGUGGAAACUUUUAACUAUCCACCUAUACCUCAUUUCUGUGUUUUAUCACAGUAAGUCCCAAUUCCAUGAAUUUGCUUUUGCCAUUUUUAUGACACAUCAAUGGCUGUCCAAAAGACUCCAGAAAUUAUUCAACUUCCAGUAGGUCACUGAGAAAGGCCAAGAGAGAAAAUUUCCAUCAAAUGGGUACUUUCUUCACCAGAAAUAGGGGUGGAAGACUCUCUCAACAAGACACCACAGAAGAGGUGGGUGGGUGGCAAAUUUCUUCUUUGUUUUUCUUCUGUAGUGUUCCAUAGAUGCCUCUUCCAUGACAGUUUUACUAUGUGAUAAUUAUUUGUUAAUAUGUUUGGUUUUCCUCUAGAUCCCAACCUUCCUUGAUGAAAGGAUGCUAGGUGCUCAAUAAAUGCUUCAUGAAGAAAUGAACCCAAUCACAUGCCAGGCUUUCAGACUCAGACUGGGAUUACACCAUUGGUUCUCCAGCUCUCUGGAGAGAGAGCUUCCUGGGUCUUCAGUUUGCAGAGAGCAGAUCAUGGGUCUUCUCAGCCUCCAAAAUUGU
Molecule: long non-coding RNA, 5347 nt
Filed under: Homo sapiens (human)
Lineage: Eukaryota; Metazoa; Chordata; Mammalia; Primates; Hominidae
Description: HSALNT0190152
Source: RNAcentral